RNAcentral lists this ribosomal RNA (381 nucleotides) under Paenibacillus sp. HPCAQH24b. RNAcentral's name for it is "bacterial SSU rRNA". It matches the Rfam family "Bacterial small subunit ribosomal RNA", at positions 57 to 425 of the family's 1533-position model. The record is from RNAcentral. Lineage: Bacteria; Bacillati; Bacillota; Bacilli; Caryophanales; Paenibacillaceae.
GCAGUCGAGCGGACCUGAUGGAGUGCUUGCACUCCUGAAGGUUACCGGCGAACGGGUGAGUAACACGUAGGCAACCUGCCCUCAAGACUGGGAUACCUACCGGAAACGGUAGCUAAUACCGAAUAAUUUAUUUUGCACCAUUGUGGAUUAAUGAAAGGCGGAGCAUUCUGUCUCUUGAGGAUGGGCCUGCGGCGCAUUACCUAGUUGGUGGGGUAACGGCCCACCAAGGCAACAAUGCGUAGCCGACCUGAAAGGGUGAACGGCCACCCUGGUACUGAAACACGGCCCAAACUCCUACGGGAGGCAGCAGUAGGGAAUCUUCCGCAAUGGGAAAAACCCUGACGGAGCAACCCCGCGGGAGUGAUGAAGGUUUUCGGAUCG